CCACUCUCCCGACCUGAGCUCCAAAGGCUUAGGCCUCGCUCCUCCUCUACACAGAAGCUAGCCCCCACCCUGUUCCAGGAGCUGGGGACAUGGGCCUGGGAGAGAGAGCAAAGCCACUCUGCCCUGCCCAGUCCUGUGUCCUGAGUCACACAGGCUGCGCCCAAGGGCUUCGCCAGCUGCCUCUCCUAGUCAGCCUGUAGACCUAGGGCUGAAGGCGCAGAAAGGGGCUGGACGCCCCAUUACUCCCGGCUGGCCUGAAGAAUCGCCUCAUUGGCGUAGGAGAUGAGAUGGCCUUGCGCUCAGUGGCAGCCAAUGGCCGGGGUCUCCUGCGCGGGAGUCCGUCCCAUUGCCAACUUCAGGAGUCGGAGGACCACAGAGCGAGCUAGAGCCACGGCACUGCCGCCGCGUCCCCCAGCGUCCCUUCCAAGGCACUCACCGCGUCCUCUCAGGGCCCCUCGGUGGGUGGGGGGAUCUGGCCACGCUCGGUCCGGAGUCUUACCACUCCCGGGUUCGGGCCACCGCCUCCUGGAGCGCGCCGAGCCCUCCCCCGGGAAGCCCGGCCCCCUGGGCCCGCCCUCUCCGCGCCGCCACCGCCCCAACCUCACAGACAGCAUCCCCAUUGCAGGGACUGCUGGCAUCCGGGCGCCGGGUGGCUCUUGGGGGGGGGAGGCUCUGCUCCCCGGUGCAGAGUGGGAGCCAACAGUCUAAGGUGGCGCUGCGAGGCUAGCAGAUCGCUAUAUUUCAGCUUUGCCGCUCUUCGACUUCUGCAGAGCCCGAGAGGCCGGUGGGAGUGAGCGGGAACCUGCACCCGCAUCAUUGGGAUGUGGGAACAACAAUGCUGCAUUACAUUCUUUGCUAAGAGCACCUUUCUUAGAAGUUAGCCCCGGGGAGGCUCGCAACCACCCUCUCCAUGUAAGCCUUAGAAUUCUGAAGUCAGAAAAUGGGGCUUAAAGAGAUCUUUAGCGGUUUGCCCAUACAUAAUCUCUAGUCCGGCAGAAGCGAGGUUGUAAAGCCGUGCCUACCUAGCCCACCUCUGCUUGCAGCUCUAGCGCGCAUUCUGAGACCUGGGACAAACACGGGGUGGGGAUGGAACAAAAAAAGCCACGAACUCCACCCCCUCCGUCUUCAUAGUCCCAGAUUUUGUACCUCAGUUCCUCCCUAAAUCACUUGGUCUCUUCACCUCCUUGUCCAAUGUAGACUUUUCCCGAGUCGUCACGAUGCCACCCCACCCUAAAUAGAUCCCUUCUUCUUCACUUCCCCACCCCCAGCCUCUCGGGAUUUCAGAGCCUGUGGGUCUGUUAUUUAUAUCCACUGGAGCGGUCCAAGAAUGUUCUGAAGCUGACCUAAUCGCCACCUGCUUGGCUUCCCCACCCCUCCUGCUCUCUCCGGAGACUGGUGACCCAGCAGCGGUGUCCCGCGCCCAAGAGACAAGACGGAACGCUGGCCAGCGGGGUCUCUGGUGCUAACGGGUCCUGGAGACACAAUUCGCUCCGGGCUGGAGAGCCCAGGGGACCGCCCCCAGGGGACCGCGCACUCUCUGGGAAGCAACAGGCCUAGCUGUUCUCUUUCCGGCACGUACAUUUCCCACCCAGCCCCCUUCACUCCCUCAGAAGUGUGAGUCCAUGCGCGCGGAUUUUUAAAAGACAAGUUUAAAAAUAGCAAAA
Non-coding RNA from Peromyscus maniculatus bairdii (prairie deer mouse), 1664 nucleotides. NCBI's taxonomy places the organism in Eukaryota, Metazoa, Chordata, Mammalia, Rodentia, Cricetidae. The record is from RefSeq and is a predicted model, not a curated record.